GGCCGCGAGUAGUCGCCGUACGGUGCUGCCACCUGACGGUCCCGCCAAAAAGCCAGCAGAAGCGCCCGCGCUCGGGUGUGCUGCGUCGGUUUCCGAGCGGACGCGUCACUCGAGUUCGCGAGCUCCUGCGUGGUGGACGUGCGCGCGCUCGCUCUCCAGCAGACCGGCGGCUCGCGGAUACGAUUGUGAUUUUACUCCAUACUGUUUGUUGGGUGGUGUUUGGUGUUAUUCGGUGGUUUCUUCUGGUUAUGCUGUUUUGAAGUAAUGAACUUAACAUCGGACAUCAUGGGUGACUGGAGCAUUCGUGAAGAUUUCUGCAUGGACGACCUGAACACAGUGGUGAAGGUGGAGGAUCUGUCGGCCAUCGACCCGUACCCGUUCUACCCGAUUCUGGACGGCGCCGGCGACAUGUGUACCGGAAAGCCGGGCGACGGCUGCGACGUGUGCGGCCCGACCGAGACCCACCUGAGCAGCCUCGGCAUGAUCCCGUGUCACACGCAGCUGCCUCUGCUCGAGUGGUCCGACGUCGAGGACCAGCUCGGUGAGCCAGAGCAGGACGAGAUGCGCUGCGUCAACAUCAACCAGAUCUUCAACAUGGCCGAGAAGGCCGCGCCCCAGGAUAAAGUGAUUGUCGAGCACACGGACAAAGUGAUCAGUGACUGCAUGUGGAGCAGCAGCAGUGCCCACCGCCUGGACAUGUCCGAUCUGGGCACCUCGCCGCUGCCGGCGCUCAGUGUGGAGAGCGAUGUGGGCUUCGGCCGGCCCGACACUCCGCAGACCGAUUCGGAGUCGCAUUUCACGGACAGUGAUGACCUCAUCCAGCGCGUGCCCAAGGAGGAGAGUAUCGAGCGGAGACUCUCUCCCGUGCCCGAAAAGCCGGCCGCGGCGGUGAGCAGUGGUCGCAGUCUGCUGAAGCGCAAUCAGUUCAGUGUGAAGGUGGCGCGCGCGCCCCUGCGCCCCGAGUCCAAACCGGCGCUCCCUUCACCGAGUGGCGACAGCAGUUACUCGGGCGAUCACAGCUACUCGGCGACCAACUGCAUCGGCAUCCUCACACCGUCUCCGUCACCGUCAGAGUCCAGUUCAGAGGACGACAACAACAGCGACGCGCGCACGGGCCGGCACCACGCGCGGCGGCGCGCGCCCGUCGACUCGCAGGCGCUGCAGGAGAGGCUGCUGCACCGGCCGCUCAAGGCGCGAAAGCGCACCACUGGCGCCAUGAAGUACCGCUCCGACCGGUGUCGCAUGCCCUCCGAUGACGACCAGGCGCCGCCGGAGCGGCGCAACAACCACAACAAUAUGGAGCGGAUGCGGCGCGACCUGCUGCGCGGAGCGCUCAACAGCCUGCGCCGUCUGGUACCCGACACAGCCGGCAACGACAAGGCGCCCAAAAUCACCGUGCUCCGCGAAGCGGCCAAGUACUGCCUGAUGCUGCGCAGCAAAGAGGAGAUGCUCAACAAGCAGAAGCGACGACUGGAGGAGCAGCGGGCGACGCUGCAGCGGCGACUCGAGCUGCUGCAGCGCAACGUCUGCCACUGAGCCGGCAGUGCGCCCGCGGCCGUGGCCUGGACUCGAAUCAAUUUCACAUUGCGGUGGUCCCGGCAGAGGAGCGAGGGCGAGGACAGUGUUUGUGCGUCGGAGUCAGCUCAUCUCCUGUCAUUGUUCGCCUGUUCGCGCAUCACCCAUGAGACACUUGAACGGUUGGAUGGUUAGUUUGCUUUUAACGAGAAGCUUGUUUAGUUUAAGAGAGCUUGGAAGUGUGUUUUCUGUUGUUUGCUGGUGAAGGUAGUUACGUUGGUGACAAAGCCUUGCUUUUCGAGUCUUUUCGGCCCCCUUUUGUUGCUCAAGGCGCAGACUGUUCUUCGAAUUGUAGUCUCGCCAGAUUGCAGCGUUGGAAGAGCGGAGGCGGAGAGAAAUGAAGUGAACGACGUGUGUGCUAGGAUUGCACGCUUCUGUAGGCUGUAACCGGCGCGGCAGACUUGGACCGCACAGUGAGUAAUGUGGACACAGCCGGCCUCUCAGGUACACAUAGUCAUUAGCAACAAAUUUCCUGGCCCCCGUCGAAAUUCGCCCGGCGGCGCACUGACCGCCCCGGCUGCCACCCUGUAUAUACAGCUUGGUCAUGAUUUCGGUGCUGGUGAGCGUAAAAUUUGUGGUCGCUCCGGCGACGCUUUGAAUCGUUUGUUCGUGGAAGGUGGGCAUUGGCCGGCCGCGCGCGCGUGCGCCCCUGAGGUAGCUGCGACGGCCGGCCGCCCGUGUUGUGGUCGCGCGCACAAUGUGUAUGCCGUGAGUGUAUUUACAGUUAAGAGCCCGGUAGUUUUUUAUCGAUAUAUUUUGUGUGUGGUUUGUUAGUGUGCGGGGCGGCCGGCCGUGUUGGCCGGCCGGGUCCGCGCCUGUACAGACAUUGUGUGUGUGCGUGUGCGGGUGAGAUGUGUGUUCGGCAGGCCAGCCCGACCUGUCCCGUUUCGGCGCCGCCCCGCGCGUGUUCUGGCCGCGCGCCCCGCCCGGCGACAUGGGACCAUUUGCCUCGCAUUUUGACGCCGCCCGGUGCUUCUUCUCGGCGCCGUCCCCAGGAACGGGCGCUAGUACAAAGCAUAGAGUAAUUAUAUUAAACACAGAGCCUGGUUCCUGGGGAGGGCGCUCAAGAUGCACCCGGAAUUGUAAACAAGCUCCGAAUCGCCGCCGCGCUAAAUUGUUUUGUGUGCCAAAUUGAACAUGUUCCUUUCGCUCCCUGGAUCGACCGUGUGCUACAUGUAAAAGACAGGAGAGUAGUACUUAGUUUUAUAUUGUGUGCGGAUAGUUGCUUUCUCGGUUGUAGAGUAGUAGCAGCAGCCCGAACGGCAUAGUUAUGUGGAGUAAAAUAUAUCACUGGAGCU
This 2873-nucleotide unclassified non-coding RNA is filed under the name Amphibalanus amphitrite. RNAcentral describes it as "myc proto-oncogene protein-like, transcript variant X1". The record is from RNAcentral. Lineage: Eukaryota; Metazoa; Arthropoda; Thecostraca; Balanomorpha; Balanidae.